Molecule: long non-coding RNA, 987 nt
Organism: Mytilus californianus (California mussel)
Lineage: Eukaryota; Metazoa; Mollusca; Bivalvia; Mytilida; Mytilidae
Exons: 3
Source: RefSeq, a predicted model, not a curated record
AUUUAGGCAUGACAUUAGCUGUUGAACCAAGAAUUUACGAUGAGACGAUGUGCUGAUGUAGGACAGACGUACAGCAGAUACAGGUUGUCCAUAUAUUAAAAGGGAUUUUUCAUGGUGAAGGUACAAAGCUGCAAAAAUGAUGACUGUGCAUCGAUCAAUACCCACUCAAUAAUAUGAAAACACGAUGAAAACAAACAAACCAGCAGCAGAAAAGAAAUUUGAGUAUAAGAUUAUUGAAAGAUUAAUCAAUGAACAUGAUGAAGACUUAAUGGAACAGGAUUGGAAUGCAGAAACUUUGGACUUAAUUCAUGAAUAACAUCAAUGGAUGAUGAAGAAAACUGAACAAACUGACAAAGUAUUUCGUAUGCAUGUAAACUGGACAUUUUUGUUUGUUUAAUGCAAAAUAAACAAAUUUGUAAAAUUGAAAAUUAAAACCAUUUGUGAAAGAUUUCAAGAGGACCAGAAGUUACCAUGGACUUAUGAAUGAUUUAACCAGAAAAAUGAUUUACAUGUACAAUUAAGUAAAUACAUGUACAUCUUUGACUAAAAAAUGAUAAUUUAUCAACAUUAAUAUUUUAAAGAGGUUGAUCUUUUCGUUUAAAAGGUCUUAAAUGUGGAUAAUGUAUAAACUGUUGUAAUUUCUUUGAUUGUUGACUUGCAUUAAAAUGGUUAUUGUCUUAUUUCAAGUUUUCUUAUUAAUUCAUUCAAAAAUAAGCAGAGCAUGCAAAAUGAUAUUUACAUUUCAGUGGAAAUGUCAAUUUCCAUUGAAAUAUCACUGGUUUUCUUUGGUUGAUUGUUACAAUUUCUAAUGGAAUUACCACUGGUAUCCCAGUUGAAAACAAUAAAUGUCCAGUGGGAAAACAAUGGUAUUCCAACGAAGUUUUCACUGGUAUUCCAAUGGAAUUUCCACUGUAUUCCACUCGAGUAUUCACCGGAAUCCCACUGGAUAUUCCACUGAUAUCCCAAUGGAAAACAAUGAAUGUCCAA